UCCUGGGAAGAGCCCAGCUGGGCUUGGAUGUGCAGCAGCUUAGCCACAGACAGUUAAUCAAACCUGAUGACAUUUCUGUCUCCGGUUCAACAGGGAAGCCAACCUUUAAGGCUGCUCUCUGCUUUGUGAGCGCCAAUGAGAUCACUUUUCUCGGGAUGGGAAGAGAGCUCAGCAUUCUGUUUUUGAAGGUACUAAAGAGCACAUGCACAGGCACCUCUCUAGUUGGGACAGCCUGGCUCGCUGCGAAGUGGGGACACAGGCCUCUCCUGAGCAGAAAGGCAGGGAGAGACGCCCAGUGUCCCGGUCUCCAUACGGGAGCUUGUUAUCUGGAGAAGAAGACAAGAAAAGAGCAUCUCUGAUUGUGGCCUGCAAGUUCAAGUGCUUGUCAUCUACAAGGUAAACAAUACAUACCCGUGGAAAGACUGAGUGAUUCAGCCAACAGGAAGAAACGGCACAUAGUCCUGAGUUGCCAGGAGUGCUUUCUUGCCAGAUGCCCAGCCCGAUGCAGAGGAACUGCACCAGCAUCACUGGCAACAGCACCAGCACCACCAGUAGAGAUGGGAUGCUGAGACUCCUCUUGCACCCACGACCAGGGAGCAGAAGGCAGGACAGAGCCACAGGUGCACAGGCCCUGAGUAUCUGGCUUUAUAACCCUGGCUGGGAGGGGCCCCGAUGGGAGCUGAGACAAAGGGCUGCACUCUCACUGCAGAGUGAACAGAGGGCUGGUGGGAGCCCUAGCCUUCCUGCCUGCCUCCAGGGGGGUGAGCACACACCACCAUGUGACUGCCCAUAUUUAGAGAACAUGCUCCUCAAUAGAG
Long non-coding RNA from Canis lupus familiaris (dog), 818 nucleotides. RefSeq lists it as uncharacterized. The record is from RefSeq and is a predicted model, not a curated record. Lineage: Eukaryota; Metazoa; Chordata; Mammalia; Carnivora; Canidae. The transcript is spliced from 3 exons.